UUUCAGAUAACAAUACAAUAUAUAGAUAAGUUAUCUCUUUUUUAAAUUAUAUUUUUAGAUUUUGGAUAAUUCUUAUUAUUCUUAAUAUUAAUCAAUUAUCUAAUAAAAAUCAAUUAAAAUUUCAUUUUUAUUUUUUGAUUUAUUUAUACAUUUUAUUUAUUAAGGGUAUAAACGAUAUUAACCACUCUAACUUUCAACGUGAAAGCUCUAUUGCGAAAAUUUACUUUGCAAAUAAUAGUAUAGAUUGGAUUCGUUCUUAAACGAUAGCGUUUUAAUGCACCAGCUUCUUCCUUUUCUGUGUUCUGACUAUUGAGCCAGGCCCACCGACGACUUAUGUUAACAUAAAUUCAGUUGCCAUGUGUAUUAUACUAUUAUGUAAAGACAACAAAAUAAACCGUAUUUUUGUUUUGGUCUGAUAAAUUGAUAAACGUUUAAUUACUAUUUUGUUGUCAACGUUUCUCUCACUACAAAAAAAGUUGCUAUUCAUAGCACAUUGUUAUAGCACGUUUUACUGAACUGCUGUCGUUGAUGAGUGAAUUUUUUUUUUAGUAUAGGUUAGCAUUAUAUAAAUGCUAUGAUAGAGUUUUGCUAAGCGGGAAGCUAAAAUUAGCUUUUCCACGAAACACUUAGUAAAAAUUAGCUAAUAUUUUCUGUUUUCCCUCUCUCUAAUCGGGGUUCCCUCUCUUCUCUCUCAUUUUCCCCCUUUCUCGACAAAACUCUAAGAGAAAUCAAUCUGGAUUCUCCAUCUCCUUCUCUCUCGUUCUCUCUCUAUUUCCAUCUCUGUGUCGAUUCUCCAUCUCCGGUUCUCCAUCUCCGCCUCGAUUCUCCAUCUCCGCCUUGAUUCUCCAUCUCCUCCUCGAUUCUCCAUCUCCUCCUCGAUUCUCCAUCACUCUCCUUCAUCGCCGCUUCUCCCAGCUCCGAUUCAACUCCUGUUCUACAUCUCAUAGGUAUAGGAAGUCACAAUUUCGAUAUCUCUGUCAGUGUUAAUCUGAAAUCGAAGUUUUAUUUUUUUUGAUAUCUCUUAGCUUCAUCGCCGCUUUCUCUGUCAAUUGAUAUGUUGGUUGCUUUGAUUUCCUGUUUUAUUCCAGUUAUCUUUUUAUUUGGUUGGUAUCGUUUCAUGCUCUGAAUAUUUUUGCUAUAUCAUUACAUCCUCUGACUCUUAUGUGUUAUGUUAUAAGUUCGUUUUGUUACAAAAGGUUUCAACUUAGGUUCGAACACAGCAUUAUGGACAAAGCUUGGGUACAUCUAAACAGAGUUGAUCCUGGAUAUGAGAGAGGGGCUUCAAAGUUUGUCCGGGAUGUGGCUUCAGCAAUGGGAGGGGUUGAUGUUAUUGUAUGUCCGUGUAUUGACUGCCGUAACAUAGUUCGACAUUCAGCAAGUGUGGUACAACCAGAUUGUAUAUAUAAACCAGUAAACCACAAACAAAAACGUGUAAGAUCUUACACGUUUUUGUUUGUGGUUUACUGGUUUAUAUAUACAAUCUGGUUGUAAUUUCUAAAGUUGAUUGACAAAAUAAAUAUACUUCAAAUUUGUUAAAUUUUAAUGUAAAAUUAGUUGACUUUGCUGGAAAAAAAAACUUUGAAAUUAAUAUGUCUAUUUACAAAAAUAAAUUGAAAGUUAUAAUUUAGGGAAGAAGUUGACUUAAUAGUGAAUUCAUGAUUAUUGUUAAGUUGUAUUUUUGUCAUUAUUAAUUACGACGAAUAGUAUAAUUUGUCUCUGCACUUAGUCACGGAUCAUAAAUAAAGUUGUCAUCAUCCGUCCUUUUUCCCAUCUAAAAAUUUUCAUCGAUAACACAGAAAAAUACAUGGCGAAACACUCAAUCCGACAGAACAUGCACUAAUCUCGGAAAACCAAAUUUCAAUAGUGAAAAACUUAAGCUCAAAAAGAUAAAACAUGAGCAGCUAAACAAUACAAAUAAACCAUAACUACACCUUACUAAAAGAAUCCAAGAAACAAGGUAACAAGAAAUAAUAGAACAAAAAUUUAAUUGACUACGACUAGCCGGUCUUCUUGCUACGAACAAAGCAAGAGAGCAUGCACCGCAGAGGACUUCAUGAAGAAUAGCAUCACUCUCAUCUAAACCACUUGUUCACGAUGACUACACACAAACCACUUUGUGAAGCCAAAACAACACCUAAAGAGAAGCAACACCCGAUACAAAUUAAACUCCCUACUCAAUGUACCCUUUAUCUGGACGCUUCAAAGUCUUAAUCUCUUAUACUGCUUCAACACACAAAAGCCAUCAAAGAUAAACAAAAACCAAAACGACUACGAAAAUAACCUUAUUCAAGGGACGGAAAAAGACCCUUAGCAACAACAAGAUGGAGAGGUGUCCUGAAAUCAGCUUCUUCUCGAUGACAAUACCAACCAACUGUUCAUCCCAUGCCGCUGCUUCACGGUUGUUGAAUCAAAGACCAACUAAGAAAAACUCUACAAGAUGACCAAAACAGAAACUGAACGAAGAGGGACAUAAGGUUAAAACCUGGUAGAAUCCACCAUGAUAAAUCAACGACGAACGUCAACCAGCAAGUUCAGAACCACUAGAACAACAAUUCACGAACUCUUCAAUCCGGAAUCUUUCAUUUUUUCAGAUCCGAAGCUAUCGAGAAAACUUACCACACAAACUACAAUAGAAGAAGAAAAUACUCGGACUGGAUCGACGGUACACACGCCGACCAAAAGAGAAGCAACGUCGACUGCUGUAAGUUGAGGCAGAUGAGAUCAAGUUGCCACCAUCUACUUUUCAUUUUUUGGAUAACAUUAUACAAAAAAUUUCUGGUUGCCACUAUCUAAUUUUACAAUUAAAUAUUUUUAAAGAGUAAAAAGUAUAAAAAUGGACAAACUUAGACCAAGUGUUCAAAAUUGUUUUUACUAUGUUUUAUAAUGAUUACGAUUAUCAAUUUGAUUUUCUGAAUCAAGGUUUAGUUCGAAUUAGUAUAACUAGUAUUGAAAAAAAAGUAUACAAAUGAGAACGAAAGACUGAUAGUAGUGAACUAGAUGAUUAGUAAUGGAGAGUAAAUUAUUUAUUAAUAUAAUAUCAAAUGAUCACAAAAGUGGUUUCAUCUUCAACAUUUAAAGAAAGUUUUGGAGACUCUUCUCUCGGAUAUAUAUUAUCCAAACGGACCAAACCAUUGCUUCAUCUCCGACCUUUCAUUUUUAUGUAUUCUAGUGUAGGGUUCUAUAGCGUUUUAUAAUUUUUUUUGCGUUUUGUAAUUACUAUUGGAAAUUUUAUAAGAUAGCACUAAAAAAUUUUCUAUCACAAAUAUAGAUUCUAAGAAUCAAAAUGACCAAAAUGUUUCAUUAAAGAGAUAAAUAUACAUUUAUACUCCUAUGGUUAAUUAAUUCAAACUUUAGGAUUUAGAGUUAAGGGAUGGAGACUUGGGUUUGAGGUUUAAAAUUUUAUAAAAUAGAAAAUAAAAAUUUUAAAAAUAGUU
Brassica rapa (field mustard) is the source of this 3434-nucleotide long non-coding RNA. RefSeq lists it as uncharacterized. Lineage: Eukaryota; Viridiplantae; Streptophyta; Magnoliopsida; Brassicales; Brassicaceae. The record is from RefSeq and is a predicted model, not a curated record.